Molecule: long non-coding RNA, 1530 nt
Organism: Rhea pennata
Lineage: Eukaryota; Metazoa; Chordata; Aves; Rheiformes; Rheidae
Exons: 2
Source: RefSeq, a predicted model, not a curated record
GUGACGGCGGAGCCAUGGCGGCGGCCGGCGCGGCCUCGGCGCGCCGCGUGACGGGCGUGCUCGGCGGGCGAGGGGCGCGGGCGGCGGCGGAAUGUCAUUUAAAAUCACUCUGACAGACCUGCCUAAUAUGGACAGUUCAAGUGAUUUCAGUUUGGCAGACUUAGAAGCAACUGAAAACAUGAUCUUAUAGUGAAAAGUUCAGUGAAACCUCAAGUGUCAGUUGCACUUAGAAGUGGCGUCCAACUAGACCAAGCUCUGCUGUGAGUGAAGAGUUGAGCAGCCAUAUGACCACGUCGGAUGCAGAAUGUUUGGAGCGGCUCUACAGUCUUCUCAUUAAAAAAUCUCUCAGUGAUGACUGUCCGUAAAUAACCGCCAUUUUGUGAGCUGUGAAUACUGCAAUAUGUGAAUGUCGUCUGUCAUCUCUGAAGGCAUUCCUCCCCCCUAACUUUAGAUGUAGGCAGACAACAUUUGGCAAAAUCUAUCCUACUGCUAUUGUUUUCAUAGCUUGAAAUCAAGGUGAGAUGUAAAUCGGAACCACAAACUGACCUUCUGCAUUGUAUGAAGUUGACAUCACCAAAGACACAAAGUGGACUCAGCUGCAUUGGUGGGAGAGUGGAUUGAAGGAGUUGUAUGGAGACACAGCAUUUUCUCUGGUGCGUGACCAUGUGAAGGUUAACAGGAAAACAGCUAGUACGGUGAGAAUUACAAGCAUGAAGUGAGAGGUGAUGUGAGGCACAAGAACACCAUUCUGACAAGCAGACUGUAGCAUCAGGAGAUCAAGGAAAACAAAGCUGUGGGAUGUGGGUUCCCCCUCCCCAGCAACUUCACCCUGAAAUCAUUAGUUCUUGUUGACGCAGUUACUAUCAUUAAGAGAAAGCAGUCAUAGCUUAGGAAAGGUUUUACCAGUGCUGUUAGAUCUCCCAUGUGAUAAUGUGACCCCCGCAGCCCUCUAAUCCUGUCAGUGUCUAAUUUGCAGGAAGUGUGGAGAUGUUGCCAUGCUUGUUCAAUACAUCAAAAUAAAUCCGAUGCUGCAGCAGCUAGGACAGCAGUUGAAAUGUGUAGGAGAAUACCAGCAUUAACGACAUUUUUGUGAAGGUGCAGGCAGAUGGCCGGACAUGGCCUGAGGUUAUCCUGAGGGGAUAACAGUGUGAGAAACUGCCGGACAGAGCAGGCCAUGGGCAUGCGAAAGUAGCUGACCAACCCUGACCUGGGACUAACCUAAUAAAGUGAGUUGCAACCAGACUAAAGGGGUGAGAGGGGAGCGUCAGACCUGCCUUGGAUAGAGAGUGCCUGAGGGUAGUGAGAGUGGGUGCUGGCUUAUUGAGGUCACUGACCAAGGCUGCAAUUACUGAAUAAGACUAAAAUCAGCAAAACUUGGGCAUAUAGGGAAAGAGAAAAACCAGAGGCGGGUUAUUUAAAUGGGAGAGGUAAAAGGAAAUGUAAGGCAAAGCAAACCACGUGAUCAAAGAUGCUUGGGGAUUGCCUCACCAAUGCCGCCAGGAGCAGGACAAUAAACCUGUUUCGUCCAUA